Molecule: ribosomal RNA, 253 nt
Filed under: uncultured bacterium
Lineage: Bacteria
Description: partial 16S ribosomal RNA
Rfam family: Bacterial small subunit ribosomal RNA
Source: RNAcentral
UACGGGGGGGGCAAGCGUGGUUCGGAAUUACUGGGCGUAAAGGGCUCGUAGGCGGCCAACUAAGUCAGACGUGAAAUCCCUCGGCUUAACCGGGGAACUGCGUCUGAUACUGGAUGGCUUGAGGUUGGGAGAGGGAUGCGGAAUUCCAGGUGUAGCGGUGAAAUGCGUAGAUAUGACAUAGAACACCGAUAGCGAAGGCAGCUUACUACAGGAUGAUUGACGCUGAGGCACGAAAGCGUGGGGAGCAAACAGG